RNAcentral lists this ribosomal RNA (207 nucleotides) under uncultured bacterium. RNAcentral's name for it is "partial 16S ribosomal RNA". It matches the Rfam family "Bacterial small subunit ribosomal RNA", at positions 568 to 774 of the family's 1533-position model. The record is from RNAcentral.
UGCGUAGGCGGCUUUGUACGUCAGAGGUGAAAUCUACCGGCUCACCCGGUUAGACUGCCUCUGAAACUGCAAGGCUUGAGUCCGUCAGGGGAUGGUGGAAUUCCUGGUGUAACGGUGAAAUGCGUAGAUAUCAAGAGGAACACCUGAGGUGAAGACGGGUUGCUGGGCUGACACUGACGCUGAGGCGCGAAAGCCAGGGAGCAAACG